RNAcentral lists this ribosomal RNA (118 nucleotides) under Dakarella massiliensis. Lineage: Bacteria; Pseudomonadati; Pseudomonadota; Betaproteobacteria; Burkholderiales; Sutterellaceae. The record is from RNAcentral.
UGCCUGACGGCCAUAGCAGAGUGGCCCCACCCCUUCCCAUUCCGAACAGGACGGUGAAACGCUCUCGCGCCAAUGAUAGUCGGUUGUAUUUCCGGUGAAAGUAGGUCACUGUCAGGCU